Molecule: transfer RNA, 72 nt
Filed under: Hyperionvirus sp.
Lineage: Varidnaviria; Bamfordvirae; Nucleocytoviricota; Megaviricetes; Imitervirales; Mimiviridae
Description: tRNA-Arg
Source: RNAcentral
AACUCGCACCCGAAUUCGAAUCGGGACCAAUAGGUUCGUAGCCUAUUAUUCUUUCCAUUAAACUAUGCGAGC